AGUCGAACGGCAGCACGGACUUCGGUCUGGUGGCGAGUGGCGAACGGGUGAGUAAUGUAUCGGAACGUGCCCAGUAGCGGGGGAUAACUACGCGAAAGCGUAGCUAAUACCGCAUACGCCCUUAGGGGGAAAGCAGGGGAUCGCAAGACCUUGCACUAUUGGAGCGGCCGAUAUCGGAUUAGCUAGUUGGUGAGGUAAUGGCUCACCAAGGCCGCGAUCCGUAGCUGGUUUGAGAGGACGACCAGCCACACUGGGACUGAGACACGGCCCAGACUCCUACGGGAGGCAGCAGUGGGGAAUUUUGGACAAUGGGGGAAACCCUGAUCCAGCCAUCCCGCGUGUGCGAUGAAGGCCUUCGGGUUGUAAAGCACUUUUGGCAGGAAAGAAACGGCGCGUGCUAAUACCAUGCGCAACUGACGGUACCUGCAGAAUAAGCACCGGCUAACUACGUGCCAGCAGCCGCGGUAAUACGUAGGGUGCAAGCGUUAAUCGGAAUUACUGGGCGUAAAGCGUGCGCAGGCGGUUCGGAAAGAAAGAUGUGAAAUCCCAGGGCUCAACCUUGGAAACUGCAUUUUUAACUACCGGGACUAGAGUAUGUCAGAGGGAGGUGGAAAUUCCACGUGUAGCAGUGAAAAUGCGUAGAUAUGUGGAGGAACACCCGAUGGCGAAGGGCAGCCUCCUGGGGAUAAAUACUGACGCUCAUGCACGAAAAGCGUGGGGGGAGC
Molecule: ribosomal RNA, 725 nt
Filed under: Achromobacter sp.
Lineage: Bacteria; Pseudomonadati; Pseudomonadota; Betaproteobacteria; Burkholderiales; Alcaligenaceae
Description: bacterial SSU rRNA
Rfam family: Bacterial small subunit ribosomal RNA
Source: RNAcentral